GAAAAAGCUCUCCUAAGAGCUACUUAAUAUAAAAUAUAUAUAUACUU
Charadrius vociferus (killdeer) is the source of this 47-nucleotide non-coding RNA. Lineage: Eukaryota; Metazoa; Chordata; Aves; Charadriiformes; Charadriidae. The record is from Rfam.